AUAAGCACCCAAACACUGCCGACGUCAUCGCCCAGGUCCGAAUCCCGCGCCGUAUUACUCCAACAGCCAUUCCCCACGAGGAAGGAUGCAAAGGGAAACACCAGGUAGCGGGAGCCCGGGGCCUCGCUUUCCUUAAACUAAGAGCGUCAGACGCCUCUUCCUCUGCCCUACGGAAAGGAAUCCCCUCCGUACCCUCCCCCCAGCUGCAGCCCCCUGGACCGGGUGGGUCACUCCUGCCCCAGGGACGUCUCGGGCGUUUCGAUUUAUUCAUUUUUACAAGACUGGUGUUCACUUAAAGACGUAAAGGCUUUCCUACAGUCAAAACCUUCCUCUACCCCGGCCACGCAAGACCAGCCAUGCGAAUGAAACAGUCUAGGUUCCCAAAUCCUUUGUAUUUUUUCUUUAAAAUCCCCAGCACCAUCAACAUCACCACCACCCUCUCAAAUCCCGGGAUGCGCAAAAACACGCAAGCUGUGCCUCUUUAGUAGCCACGUGCCUUGUCCGCGGCGAAAGGCCCACUUUAGGACCGUUUAUCGCAAGGAGCCUCCAGCAAAAGACGACUAGAGUGACUUGAGAAGCCUGCCUUUGGCAGUCCUCUUCCGCAGUUGCAAAAGCAACGAGAAACGAAUGAGGAACGAGCCUCUCUCUUCUCUCCGCCCCACCGCCCAGCCGCACGAGGUUCGGCUUCCAAUUCACCAAGCGCCUCCCUGCGCCUCGACCCUCCCAGCUGCCCCCUUGGACUUCCGCAAGUCGGACCCCACCCUUCAUCCAAUCCCGACUUGACUGGGAAACGAGAGAAAAAUAUUGAAUAUACCAAGGACUGCCAGAUGAACCAAGUCUGUCUUGAAAGAAGUAAAGCCAGAGUGCUCCUUGGAAGCGAGGAUGGCAAGACUUCAUCUCGUGUAUUUUGGACAUGUUAUCAGGAGGAACCAGUACCUGGAAAAGGACAUCAUGCUCGAAACAGACUGCCAGCUCCUUCUUCCUGCCCACUCUUAGUCUGGAAGCUCUGCUGAAACCUGUCCACGAAUGGUGACCCUGCUGGUAUUUGAAAUAUGGGCAGCCAAUCUUCCAGUAUCACAGCAGCAUGCAAGCCACCACGGAAUGACAAACUGACAGACAUGUGGUGGUUAUUUUAUUAGUAUGGUUGAUUUUCAGACUUUAAAUAAACCGUGCAUCACUGAGAUAAAUCCCCCUUAGUCAUGUAUAAUCUUUUUAUAUGUUCCUAUAUUUAGUUUGCUAUGAUAUUGCUAAGGCUUUUUGCAUCAAUGUUUACAAGGGAUUAGUCUGUGGUUUUCUUGUGGUACUUUUGUCUGAUUUUGAUGUCAGGAUAAUUUUGGCCUCAUAGAAUGCUUUGGGAAGUGUUCUCUCUUCUUCCAUUUUUUGGAAGAGUUUCUGAAGGAAGGUGUUUCUUUUUUGGACGUUAGUGUGAUGUACCAGUGAAUCUACCUAAGCCUUGGCUUUUUGUUGUGAUUGCCAUGGUAGCUACAUGACCACAUACAUUUGUCAAAUCUCAUGGAACUAUAUACCUUCUAAUCUAUUUUACUGUAUUUAAAUUAUACCUCAAUAAGCCUGACUGGGAAAACAAAACAAAUUUUUAUUCUACCACAUGAAAAAAGUCAGGAGAAAGGUUUAUUAGGAGUAGUAUGGUGGGCUUCAUGGUCAUGUGUGACUGAGGCUUCUAUACUUCUGCUUCAACAACUAACUCAUGGCUUUCAACCUAAAGGACGCUUUGUGACCCAACAUAGUUUGCUGGAGCUCUAGCCAUCAGCCAUCACAUAAGCAUUCUAGGCAACAAGAAGGUGGAAGGGAGAAGACAAACAGCAUCUCUUCGCUUUCUAAGGUCCUUUUCUAGGAAUCCUAAAAAAUAUAAGACUUCUCGCAUUAAAUUGUCCAUAUCUUACUCACUUACUACCAACCUGGAAGAAAAUUUUAGAAAUAUGUUUUAGUUGAGUCUAUUGCCAUCCUCAAUCAAAUUGAAUUACUAUGAUAACUAAGGAAAGGGAGAAUGGAUAUUUACACAUCAAACAAAGCAGAAAACUAUGAAUUAUAUUCAGCUUCUCAAUUCUUACUUUUUCAUGCCAUUACACAUGAAAUCAUCAGUAAAAUUCUGAUGUGUAUUUAUAAAUAUUUAUCAUGUUUAUCUUUUCUUGUCCAGUUAUACCAGGGCUACCAUAGAUCAGAUCCUCCUUCUUGUUAAUGUAGACUAUUAAAAAAGCUUCUUAAUUAGGUUAUUAUUUUUCCUGCCACAGGUAUUGCCCUCUUAUGUUUUAUUCCCUAUGCUGCAAGCACCAUCAUCUAUUUAAUUGAUCAGGUCACUUGCCUAAUUAAAAGCCUCAACAAUUUCUUGACCCAUCAGUAUCUCCAUUAGGAUACCCACAACAUGGUACCUGUUUCCCUCAGAGGGAGUCAUAGUAAGCAAGAUAAAAAUCAUAGCCUUUUUGUAAUCUAAUCUUAGAAGGGCUAUCCCAUCACUUUUGCUGUAUUCUUUUGAAGGGAGUCAAUAGGUCCAAGCUAUAUUCCAGGCAUAGAGAUUAUACAUGAGUAAUCCUUGAAUAUGAAGAGGGGAAGAAGGGGGGUACUUGUUGUUAGUUGCUAUGGAGUUGAUUCCGACUCAUGGAGACCCCAUAUGUACAGAGUAAAACUGCUCCAUAGGGUUUUCAAGGCUGUGACCUUUUAGAAGUAGGUUGCCAGACCUCUGUUCCGAAGUACCUCAGGGUGGAUUUGAACCACCAACCGAUCAGCUAGUAGUCCAGCUCUUAACCUUUUGUGCCACCCAGGCACUCCAUUACCUGAUAUACUAGGUCUAUCUAUCCUGAUUAGAUACAUUAGAGCAAGAAUUAUUUCAUCAGAACUUCUUACACUAUUUGGAUAAUAGUUAUUAAAUGAAUGAACUUAUGUAAAUUUGUAUUCCCUCCUCCAGUAUCUAGCACAAUUUUGACAUGUAACGUGAGUUCAAUUAAUAUUCUCUGAACUGAGAUGAACUGUUCCCCCCUUGUGAACUCUUCAUUCAAAGCAGACCUUGAAACCUACUAUUUCCUCAAUACACAAUGAGCUUUCCCUUUUCCAACUUUUUAUUCAUUUAUUUCCACCCACCCAGAAUCACUUCCUCUGUACUAUGCUCCAAAUUCAAUUCAAAUUCCAUUUUCAUAAAAAUAUUCUAUGCAAUUUAAAUGACAAUGAUGGUAAUAUUUGCACAUAUUCCAUCUUUGCUUUUAAUAUUAUUUAGAUCUUCUGCAGCCUUUUAACUUUUCAUAUUUUUCUUCCCAACUGAAUUGUAAAUUCAUUGAGAUCAGGAACACACUUGUAAUCCUCUCUGUAUCACUGGAAAGACACAUGGCAGAGUAAGUGAUUUUGAGAUUUCAUGGUAAAAGACUGUAAAACAUUAUUUAAUAUUAAGCAGUAUUAUGAAAACUUAAUGUACUUGUAUUUCCUUGCAGUAAUUAUAAUCCUUUAUAAAUGACAUGGCAUUAUACAAUAGUAUUUCCCCCCCUUACGGACAAGGUAUGUUAGAUUCAAUAAAAAUAAUAAAGUCUUACUGUACUGUAGAGUUAAUAGUGAAUUUCAAGGAUUAAAAUAUUCAAUAUAGACAAGAUGGUAUAUUUACUGACUCGACUGUUAUGUCAAAUCAUGACAAAAAAUAAUUUUACCAAAAAUAGUCAAAUCUUUAACUUACAGUAACUCAUGAUAAUACAAGAUACUUAUGUAUUUGUUAUGAAAGAUGGCCAUAUUUGUCAGUCAAAUUGAUAAUAUGACUGAUAAAACUGACAUUUUAAAGUGAGACUGUCUUAGAAAAUAUGACCGUAUGGUUACCAUUGACAUAAGCCAUUAAGAAACAUUCGAACCUCCCUUUAUCUAAAAUUCUAUAAUUGUUAAUCUUCUCAGGAGUAUCCAAUAGUGCUAAUGAAGCCUACUUUCUCCAUUCUGUUGAGUUACAUCAAAACAUAUCAAAAUUGGAUGGCUGGGCUUUUUAUUCUCAUCUGCUAAUUGCUGAAACUUUAAAAACACUCAUUUAAUACAGCUUGAAUUAUUAAAAUGAUUAUAUAUCAAAUUUUACUCUAUACAAAAAGUUAUAGAGAAUUAGCCAUAAUUUUAAAGUAAGAAUGAAAGUAAAAUAACAUUCUAGGCAUUUGACCAUACCAUUUACAAUAUUUUGGGGUCCUGGCAGUUAAGCAGAGUGAUUAAGAGUUUGACUGCUAACCAAAAAUUUGGCAAUUCAAAUCUACCAGCUGCUGCUUCAAAACUCUAUGGGGCAGUUCUACUCUGUCCUAUAGGGUUACUAUGGGUCAGAAUCGACUCAACGGCAUUAGUCAAUUAUAAUACUGCAGUAAUAAGUGACUUCAAUAGCUGAACAGAUGCUAGAGAUUCCAGUGAGUCUGCUUCAUAGCUGUACCUAGAAGUAUCUGUCAGUUCUGUUACUGAGGCAUGCCUGAACUAUAAACCCUAAAAGAUGGCGACAGUGUCUCUUUCCCUCACUCUAAUGUCUCUUCCAUUUAAUACAGUGCCUGACAUGCAAAAUUCCAUCUGUAAAUAGUUAUUGAAUACAUUAAUUUAUGCUGCAUUAAACGUGAAUACCAUAAUCAGCUUUCCAUAUUACUUACAUGAAUUAUCUUUCCUUCUUAAUCCCACUAAUUAGCCAAAGGUACAUGUUUCUCUUUCUCCAACUCCAAAUUUCCAUCACUUUUUCUCCUAAUCUUACUGACACUUGCUGUCCAUCCCAUAAUGCCAUGAUCAUGAGCCACAUAGCUUCUGUGUGAUAGAACAGUGGCUCACGUGCACACUUCACUUACCAUGUGCAGCCACUAAACUUGACAUACGUGAACUCCCUUGAUCCUCCAUAUCCCUGCGAGGUUGGUAUUUUUAACAUCUCCAUUUCACAGAUAAUGAAACUGAGGCACCAAGAAACUAGCCAUGUGUCCAGUGUCACACAGCUAAUAAAUAGUGAGGCUGGUAUUUUAAUUUAGCUAGUUGGGCUCCAGAAUAUGUAUUCUAACACAGGGCUGUAGGCACUACGCUAUGCUGCCUCCUUAUCAUACUGCGCUUAAACGUAUGAUCUACUUUCAUAGCCGAGAUAGCUUUCAUUGAUGUAACUUGGCCUUUUCCUUGAAUAAACACCUACAAAUAUAAAGAAUUGAUGUUUAUAUGUAAAAUUGAUUACCUUAACACCUAAUGCCUGUAUUUUAAAUUAGCGUUUUCCUUCUGUGAAAUUUGGAAUCAAGCUUGGGUUCAAAUUUUAGAUUUGCCUCAUAUUAAUUACAUCCCUUUCAGUAAGCUAAUUUAUUUUCACCUCUUUUAGCUCUAUUUUCUUAUCGGUGAUGUAGCUAAAUCAAAGGGUUACUAUGAAGUUAAGUAAAACCAGCAAGCAAAACAAACAAAAAAACUUUGAAGUACCUAGCACAGUGCCUAAAACACAACAGCAUUUCAGUAUAUACAAGCAGUUAACAAUAUUUCUUUUAAGGAUUAUUCAUUUUGCAAUCUUUGUGUCAAAUCUCCUCCCAUAUUUAGUUAAGGCUUAUGGUUCAAUAUCCUGAGUAGCUUGUUAAAUCUGAUAGUUAAGUAAGCACUGUAAAAAGAUUACCCAUCGUUUUAUUAUUUAAUUGCAAGGAUGCAUUUCUG
Loxodonta africana (African savanna elephant) is the source of this 5613-nucleotide long non-coding RNA. RefSeq lists it as uncharacterized. The record is from RefSeq and is a predicted model, not a curated record. Lineage: Eukaryota; Metazoa; Chordata; Mammalia; Proboscidea; Elephantidae. The transcript is spliced from 3 exons.